UACGUAGGGUGCGAGCGUUAAUCGGAAUUACUGGGCGUAAAGCGUGUGCAGGCGGUUUGUUAAGACAGGUGUGAAAUCCCCGGGCUUAACCUGGGAAUGGCGCUUGUUACUGGCAGACUAGAGUGCGUCAGAGGGGGGUGGAAUUCCACGUGUAGCAGUGAAAUGCGUAGAUAUCGAGAGGAACACCUGCGGCGAAGGCGGGUUGCUGGGCUGAUACUGACGCUGAGGCGCGAAAGCCAGGGGAGCGAACGGG
RNAcentral lists this ribosomal RNA (253 nucleotides) under uncultured bacterium. RNAcentral's name for it is "partial 16S ribosomal RNA". It matches the Rfam family "Bacterial small subunit ribosomal RNA", at positions 524 to 776 of the family's 1533-position model. The record is from RNAcentral.